AAACUCGAUAAUCCACGUAUACCAAACCUUCUCUUGACAUCAGCAUGUGUACUGCCGUUGUAAGCACACCUCUAAAAGAAUAGUGUGCUACUAUGAUUACAUAACCAUAUACAUCAGGUCAAAGUGCAGCUAAUAAGAAGGUGACGAUGGGUUACAACCCUAAAAAAGACUAUCAACUAAGAAAUAAAAAAUCUUACGAAAGUGGACUUGGCCGUAAUCAAUUUUAAAUUAAAGAAAUGAAUAAUAUCUAAGACAUGUACACAUCGCCCGUCACUCUAUCCUAAAGGUUAGAUAAGUCGUAACAAAGUAGGUGUAAUGGAAAUUGUACCUGUCGAAGUAUAGCAUAUAAAAUGCUUUUUACUUACACUAAAAAUAAAGUUUAAACAACUUGCUUCGCCCACCCAUUACACCCCUCUAAAUAACAACUAAUUAAAACAAUUAUAUAAUUAAAAUAUAUAGUACAGAAAUGGAAAAAAUAAUAAAUAAAAGUAAAUUUUAACAAAUGUACCUUGUGCAUUAUGGUUUUACAAGAAAAUAAUUAAAAUACUAAUCCCGAAUUCUAAGUGAGAUGUUAAAUUGCUGUUAUGAACCCAUUAAUAACUGUAGAAAAAGUUUUAAAAGACAAUUUAACAGGGGCUACAUACCAUCCGCAUAAGAAUAUAGCUGGUUUUCAACAAACAUUAUACAUUAAAACAUAUAAUUAUAUUAUAUUGUAAUAUUAUUGAGGAUAAGCCCAAUAAUAGAUGCAAUAAAUAACCUAUUCUAUUUAAACUUAUAGGCCUUAAAUCAGCCAACUAAAAUACUUUACCGUAACUUACAAAGAUAGAAUACGUAGCACAUUUAUGCCAAAUAAAGUUGAAAUGAUGGAAAAACUCUCCACCCAUCUUUAUUAUGUAAAAAUAAGUAUUAUUAAUUUAUAAAAAAAUAACCUAGAAACAACAACAUAAAAAUAAUAAUAAUUAAUUAAGGAACUCGGCAAACUAUUAUUUCGACUGUUUAACAAAAACAUUGUCUCAUGAAUAAAAUAUUAGAUAAUACCU
This 1040-nucleotide ribosomal RNA is filed under the name Amynthas sp. FJ201104-01. RNAcentral describes it as "partial 12S ribosomal RNA". Lineage: Eukaryota; Metazoa; Annelida; Clitellata; Crassiclitellata; Megascolecidae. The record is from RNAcentral.